UUCCGGUUGAUCCUGCCAGCGGCCACCGCUAUUGGAAUUCGAUUAAGACAUGCGAGUCGAGAGUCGUAAGGACUCGGCGGACCGCUCAGUAACACGCGGAUAACAUGCCCUUAGGUGGAGGAUAAUCUCGGGAAACUGAGGAUAAUACUCCAUAGGUCUACUAUGCUGGAAUGCUUGUAGGUCGAAAACUCCGGUGCCUAAGGAUUGGUCUGCGGCGUAUCAGGUUGUAGUGGGUGUAACGGACCCACUAGCCAAUGACGCGUAAGGGCCUUGAGAGAGGGAGCCCUGAGAUGGACUCUGAGACAUGAGUUCAGGCCCUACGGGGCG
RNAcentral lists this ribosomal RNA (327 nucleotides) under uncultured archaeon. RNAcentral describes it as "bacterial SSU rRNA". It matches the Rfam family "Archaeal small subunit ribosomal RNA", at positions 1 to 332 of the family's 1478-position model. The record is from RNAcentral.